ACGGAGGGUGCAAGCGUUAUCCGGAUUCACUGGGUUUAAAGGGUGCGUAGGCGGGUAAGUAAGUCCGUGGUGAAAUCUCUGAGCUUAACUCAGAAACUGCCGUGGAUACUAUUUGCCUUGAAUAUUGUGGAGGUGAGCGGAAUAUGUCAUGUAGCGGUGAAAUGCUUAGAUAUGACAUAGAACACCAAUUGCGAAGGCAGCUCACUACACAAUUAUUGACGCUGAGGCACGAAAGCGUGGGGAUCAAACAGGAUUAGAUACCCUGGUAGUCCACGCCCUAAACGAUGAUUACUCGACAUCAGCGAUACACUGUUGGUGUCUGAGCGAAAGCAUUAAGUAAUCCACCUGGGAAGUACGAUCGCAAGAUUG
Molecule: ribosomal RNA, 369 nt
Filed under: uncultured bacterium
Lineage: Bacteria
Description: bacterial SSU rRNA
Rfam family: Bacterial small subunit ribosomal RNA
Source: RNAcentral